Molecule: ribosomal RNA, 253 nt
Filed under: uncultured bacterium
Lineage: Bacteria
Description: partial 16S ribosomal RNA
Rfam family: Bacterial small subunit ribosomal RNA
Source: RNAcentral
UACGAAGGGGGCUAGCGUUGCUCGGAAUUACUGGGCGUAAAGCGCACGUAGGCGGUCUUUUAAGUCGGGGGUGAAAUCCUGGAGCUCAACUCCAGAACUGCCUUCGAUACUGAAAGACUUGAGUUCGGGAGAGGUGAGUGGAACUGCGAGUGUAGAGGUGAAAUUCGUAGAUAUUCGCAAGAACACCAGUGGCGAAGGCGGCUCACUGGCCCGGUACUGACGCUGAGGUGCGAAAGCGUGGGGAGCAAACAGG